RNAcentral lists this long non-coding RNA (523 nucleotides) under Fukomys damarensis (Damara mole-rat). Its description in RNAcentral is "lncRNA (ENSFDAG00000025170.1)". Lineage: Eukaryota; Metazoa; Chordata; Mammalia; Rodentia; Bathyergidae. The record is from RNAcentral.
UGGGCGGUGGGGAAGACGACGGAUAUCUGCCCCAGCCAAUCCGCGGCUCGCAGGCUUCCGCACGCCCCCAACGCCCCGCCUCCUGGAGGCCCCGCCCCUCUUUGUAAGAGAUUAAUUGACCAAGACUGAAACUCUAACUCGUUUUUCGGGUCGGAAGUUCCACUGAAGUCGGAAUGGCUCCUCUGUUUCUCUCGAUGAUUCUGCUGGUUUGUUGAUCACAUAGCUGUGCCUUCUGUCUGACAAGAGUGGACUUGGGACUUAGUUGUGGGCCAUCAGAGCACUCUCCACUGCUCUGCCCUGGGCUUCAUCACAGCUGCAGAGAAGACCGCAGAAGCAUUAAACCAACUUGGAAAGAAGAGCCACAAGAGGAAGAUAAGGAGUUUCCAGAUGAUUUUCAACAUGACACUCACAAUCUCCUCAAUCAGACACCAACUGUUUCCACAGCUUUAACUCCCUUCCUCUCCUUCUAGGUAAGUCAGUCAGUCUUCCUACCUUAGCCCAAGUACACCUUUCUUUCUCUGAC